AGAGUUUGAUCAUGGCUCAGGAUGAACGCUAGCUACAGGCUUAACACAUGCAAGUCGAGGGGAAACGACAUCGAAAGCUUGCUUUUGAUGGGCGUCGACCGGCGCACGGGUGAGUAACGCGUAUCCAACCUGCCCACCACUUGGGGGAUAACCUUGCGAAAGUAAGACUAAUACCCAAUGACGUCUCUAGAAGACAUCUGAAAGGGAUUAAAGAUUUAUCGGUGAUGGAUGGGGAUGCGUCUGAUUAGCUUGUUGGCGGGGUAACGGGCCACCAAGGCUACGGAUCAGUAGGGGUUCUGAGAGGAAGGUCCCCCACAUUGGAACUGAGACACGGUCCAAACUCCUACGGGAGGCA
This 355-nucleotide ribosomal RNA is filed under the name uncultured bacterium. Its description in RNAcentral is "bacterial SSU rRNA". It matches the Rfam family "Bacterial small subunit ribosomal RNA", at positions 8 to 350 of the family's 1533-position model. The record is from RNAcentral.